GAUGAACGCUGGCGGCGUGCUUAACGCAUGCAAGUCGAACGGUGAAGCAGGAGCUUGCUCUUGUGGAUCAGUUGCGAACGGGUGAGUAACACGUGAGCAACCUGCCCCUGACUCUGGAAUAAGCGCUGGAAACGGCGUCUAAUACUGGAUAUGUUAUGUGACCGCAUGGUCUGCAUCUGGAAAGAAGUUCGGUUGGGGAUGGGCUUGCUGCCUGUCAGCUUGUUGGUGGGGUAAUGGCUCACCAAGGCGUCGACGGGUAGCCGGCCUGAGAGGGUGACCGGCCACACUGGGACUGAGACACGGCCCAGACUCCUACGGGAGGCAGCAGUGGGGAAUAUUGCACAAUGGACGAAAGUCUGACGCAGCGACUCCGCGUGGAGGAUGACGGCCUUCGGGUUGUAAACUCCUUUUGACCGGGAAGAACGCAAGGGGAACAGUACCGGUAGAAUAAGCAUCUACUAACUACGUGCCAGCCGCCGCCGUAA
This 485-nucleotide ribosomal RNA is filed under the name uncultured bacterium. RNAcentral's name for it is "partial 16S ribosomal RNA". It matches the Rfam family "Bacterial small subunit ribosomal RNA", at positions 28 to 523 of the family's 1533-position model. The record is from RNAcentral.